RNAcentral lists this unclassified non-coding RNA (222 nucleotides) under Enterococcus malodoratus. RNAcentral describes it as "partial 16S-23S ribosomal RNA intergenic spacer". Lineage: Bacteria; Bacillati; Bacillota; Bacilli; Lactobacillales; Enterococcaceae. The record is from RNAcentral.
CUAAGGAAUAUUACGGAGACUACACAGGUUGCUUUAUUCGUUCAGUUUUGAGAGGUUUACUCUCAAAAAUCGUUCAUUGAAAACUGGAUACAGAAACAAACCAAACAAACCGAGAACACCGCGUUGAAUGAGUUUUUUAAUAAGUUCAAUUGCUUAUUUUUUUCUGAUUGGGAAGUCUAUCGCUAGAUGGAACAAUCAAACCCCUAAUGAAAAUUAGGAUAA